This 73-nucleotide transfer RNA is filed under the name Camelus bactrianus (Bactrian camel). It matches the Rfam family "tRNA". From Rfam's summary of the family: Transfer RNA (tRNA) molecules are approximately 80 nucleotides in length. RNAcentral also lists the same sequence under 3 other names. The record is from Rfam by way of RNAcentral. Lineage: Eukaryota; Metazoa; Chordata; Mammalia; Artiodactyla; Camelidae.
GGAGGCUUAGCUCAAGUGGUAGAGCACAUGCUUAGCAGGCAUGAGGUUCUGAGUUCUAUACCCAGUACCUCCA